Long non-coding RNA from Herpailurus yagouaroundi (jaguarundi), 1698 nucleotides. RefSeq lists it as uncharacterized. The transcript has 5 exons. The record is from RefSeq and is a predicted model, not a curated record. NCBI's taxonomy places the organism in Eukaryota, Metazoa, Chordata, Mammalia, Carnivora, Felidae.
CAAGGGCAAGGAUUUUUGUCUGCUUUAUUCCUUGCCAGCUCUCCAAUAUGCACAAGAAUGCCUGACUCAAGACAGAAUCCUAUAAAUAUUUGUUCAAUGGGUAGAGAAAUGAUCAAUGGAUCUCACCGAACAUAUAAAAAGAUGGUCAGGGAGACAAAAUUACUCUCCCAAGAGUUACACAGCCGGCAAGGGGUGAGUUGGGAUUUGAGUUUGGGUCUGUCCCUUUCCUAGGGACUUUUCCUUCUCCGUAGCACUUAUCACCACUUAUGUAUUAUUUCUGGGCCUGUGUUUGGCGUCUCUCUCCUCUCCCACCGGAAUGGGGGCUCCAGUGAGAACAGAGUUCAUGUGUUUUGCUCAUAGUUGUCUCCCCAGCACCCAGACAGCGCUCCCCAGCACCCAGGAAGCAGCUCAUAAAUAUACACUGAGCGACACUUCAUUCUCACAAGCAAUCCUGCAAAGAAUCACUGGGCCAGAGUGGAGCUGCGGUCGGCUCCUGUGUGCUUUUCUGUGCUUUUCAAAUGAUGACAGUGAACCCAUGUUGCAUAAGGGAAAUGUUCAAACUAUGGAAAAGUGCAGAGAAUCGUACGACGACCCCACUACCUGGUACCAGCCUCAUCAAUCAGCAACACGGAGUCCCUCUGGUGUGAGGGGGUUUAAGAAUCCCUAAUUUCAGCAGGACAUGUGGCAGCCCAGAAUGAAGAUUACACUUCCCUGCUUUCUUCCCGAAUCCUAGCCAUGCUGGACCAUGUGAUGAAUUAAAGAUGGCUACUGAUUCUUUGGUCUUUCUUCCUUCAAGAGGAAGAGUUUGUUUGGACUUCCUCUCCUCUUAAAUCUGGGCUGGCCUGUGACUUAUUGGACCAACAGAAUACAGUGGAAAUGAUGCUCUGCCAAUUCCGGACUUUGGCCCCUAAGGAAACUGGCAGAUUCUGCCAUGGUCUCUUGGAUCCAUGGCUGCCAAGGAAAAGGUCCAACCACUCUGCUGGAGAGACCCCCUUGGAGAAGCCCUAAGACCUCACGGAAAGGAAUUAGGGACCCGGCUGAGCUCAGCACUGCGGUCUUCCCAAACCAUCUUGGUCCUCCAGAUGAAACCAAUCAUCAGCUGAACGCGGCCAAGUGACUAGUCAACGCCCAUGGAUCGGAAGGACCGCCCAGCUGAGCCCUGGCCGAAUUUCAGACCCGCAAAACUGUAGAAAAUAAUCAACAUGAUUAUUGUUCGGGGAGUGUCUGUUGGGUACCAAUACAUAACCAGAACAGACCAUGAGAUAGAAGGUAUUUGUUGAGGAUGCUGUAACAAUUACACCAUCUGGAGGUCUGGCCGCCUCCGGAUAUUUUGUCCUACACGAAAAGUAGACUCUGUUUGUUUAAGCUUUGAUGAUACCUUGGGUCGUGGCUCAUGGCCUCAGUUUCCCCACAAUUAUUCAUUGGAGCAUUAACGCCUGCCCUGUUACCUCCUUUUGCAUGUAAUACAAACAGUGCGUAUCCAAAAAGACCAUGGGGCGUGCCCAAGUCGUUAUGAUACAUUUCAUGUGUCCGUAAUCGGAUAUGAACUUGUCGGGGGGCCAACUGCAAUGGGUUUUGGAAUCAGAUAUGUUGGGACUGGAGGCUCAACUCUGCUACUUUCUAAUGUGAAAAAAUCGGACCAGCCACUGAAUCUCUCUGAGCUUUGUUUCCUCAUCAAUAAAAAACAGACGAUGCCUA